This 396-nucleotide ribosomal RNA is filed under the name uncultured bacterium. Its description in RNAcentral is "partial 16S ribosomal RNA". It matches the Rfam family "Bacterial small subunit ribosomal RNA", at positions 523 to 918 of the family's 1533-position model. The record is from RNAcentral.
AUACGUAGGGGGCGAGCGUUGUCCGGAAUGAUUGGGCGUAAAGGGCGCGUAAGCGGCUUUGCAAGUCAGUAGUGGAAGUCCUUUUUUCAAGGAUGGACGUGCUACAGAAACUGCGGUGCUUGAGUGCAGGAGAGGUUAUCGGAAUUCCCGGUGCAGCGGUGAAAUGCGUAGAGAUCGGGAGGAACACCAGUGGCGAAGGCGGGUAACUGGACUGCAACGGACGCUGAGGCGCGAAAGUGUGGGGAGCAACAAGGUUUAGAUCCCCUGGUGGCCCACGCCGUAAACGAUGAAUACUAGGUGUGGGGGGACUGCCCCCCUCCGUGCCGCAGUUAACACAAUAAGUAUUCCACCUGGGGAGUACGGCCGCAAGGUUGAAACUCAAAUGAAUUGACGGGG